AGUGAACGCUGGCGGUAGGCCUAACACAUGCAAGUCGAACGGCAGCACAGUAAGAGCUUGCUCUUACGGGUGGCGAGUGGCGGACGGGUGAGGAAUACAUCGGAAUCUACUUUUUCGUGGGGGAUAACGUAGGGAAACUUACGCUAAUACCGCAUACUACCUACGGGUGAAAGCAGGGGAUCUUCGGACCUUGCGCGAUUGAAUGAGCCGAUGUCGGAUUAGCUAGUUGGCGGGGUAAAGGCCCACCAAGGCGACGAUCCGUAGCUGGUCUGAGAGGAUGAUCAGCCACACUGGAACUGAGACACGGUCCAGACCCCUACGGGAGGCAGCAGUGGGGAAUAUUGGACAAUGGGCGCAAGCCUGAUCCAGCCAUACCGCGUGGGUGAAGAAGGCCUUCGGGUUGUAAAGCCCUUUUGUUGGGAAAGAAAAGCAGCAGGUUAAUACCCCGCUGUUCUGACGGUACCCAAAGAAUAAGCACCGGCUAACUUCGUG
Molecule: ribosomal RNA, 492 nt
Filed under: uncultured bacterium
Lineage: Bacteria
Description: partial 16S ribosomal RNA
Rfam family: Bacterial small subunit ribosomal RNA
Source: RNAcentral